AUUGAACGCUGGCGGCAGGCCUAACACAUGCAAGUCGAGCGGUAGAGAGGUGCUUGCAUCUCUUGAGAGCGGCGGACGGGUGAGUAAUGCCUAGGAAUCUGCCUAGUGGUGGGGGAUAACGUUCGGAAACGGACGCUAAUACCGCAUACGUCCUACGGGAGAAAGCGGGGGGAUCUUCGGACCUCGCGCCAUUAGAUGAGCCUAGGUCGGAUUAGCUAGUUGGUGAGGUAAUGGCUCACCAAGGCGACGAUCCGUAACUGGUCUGAGAGGAUGAUCAGUCACACUGGAACUGAGACACGGUCCAGACUCCUACGGGAGGCAGCAGUGGGGAAUAUUGGACAAUGGGCGAAAGCCUGAUCCAGCCAUGCCGCGUGUGUGAAGAAGGUCUUCGGAUUGUAAGCACUUAAGUUGGGAGGAAGGGUAGGUAACC
Molecule: ribosomal RNA, 430 nt
Filed under: uncultured bacterium
Lineage: Bacteria
Description: bacterial SSU rRNA
Rfam family: Bacterial small subunit ribosomal RNA
Source: RNAcentral